UGAAUAAGGUGUUGCUGAAGUUGUCGGGCC
This 30-nucleotide non-coding RNA is filed under the name Mus musculus (house mouse). The record is from RNAcentral. Lineage: Eukaryota; Metazoa; Chordata; Mammalia; Rodentia; Muridae.